AGAAAUCCACAUAAAAAAAAAAGAAGACAUUCAUAUGAUCAUGUAGAAAAAAAUCUGGAAUUAAUUGGAUCAUUAUACUAUUUUUGGUGAUUUUUUGAAGUUGGAUAGAAUAAUGAAAUAAAAUGUGAGAUAAUGGAAAUAAUGAAAAUGAAUUAUGAAAUGUGGAAAUGGCAUCAGCUGGAAUCGAAGGGAGGUCCAAAGCGCGUCCAAAACGACGUCGUUUUGGCUAUAAGGAAA
RNAcentral lists this long non-coding RNA (237 nucleotides) under Lathyrus oleraceus (garden pea). Its description in RNAcentral is "Pisum sativum (pea) long non-coding RNA (PSAT_LNC024210)". The record is from RNAcentral. Lineage: Eukaryota; Viridiplantae; Streptophyta; Magnoliopsida; Fabales; Fabaceae.